GGGAGAUAAUGGAGGGUCACGCGUGCAGUUAGACGGGUAAAUUUGUUCUGAUUCCGGGGUCCGACUCUCUGAGCAGUGAAGAGACUCUUUGUUAAGCAGUACACAUCCAUGAAAAGAGUUGGAAGCCACAUGGGCGAUUAAAACUGUUAUGGAUGUUCUUUAUCUACGAUGCAUCCUGUCCUUUUAUAUGUAUCAAGGUGUUUGUAAUCAUUUUUCC
Molecule: unclassified non-coding RNA, 217 nt
Filed under: Hevea brasiliensis (rubber tree)
Lineage: Eukaryota; Viridiplantae; Streptophyta; Magnoliopsida; Malpighiales; Euphorbiaceae
Source: RNAcentral